This 305-nucleotide ribosomal RNA is filed under the name uncultured bacterium. Its description in RNAcentral is "bacterial SSU rRNA". It matches the Rfam family "Bacterial small subunit ribosomal RNA", at positions 338 to 659 of the family's 1533-position model. The record is from RNAcentral.
CCUACGGGGGGCAGCAGUCGGGAAUAUUGCGCAAUGGAGGAAACUCUGACGCAGUGACGCCGCGUAUAGGAGGAAGGUCUUCGGAUUGUAAACUAUUGUCGUUAGGGAAGAAAAAGGACAGUACCUAAGGAGGAAGCUCCGGCUAACUACGUUCCAGCAGCCGCGGUAAUACGUAGGGAGCGAGCGUUAUCCGGAUUUAUUGGGUGUAAAGGGUGCGUAGACGGGAAUUUAAGUUAGUUGUGGAAUCCCUCGGCUCAACUGAGGAACUGCAACUAAAACUGGAUUUCUUGAGUGCUGGAGAGGAA